RNAcentral lists this transfer RNA (62 nucleotides) under Dipodomys ordii (Ord's kangaroo rat). It matches the Rfam family "tRNA". From Rfam's summary of the family: Transfer RNA (tRNA) molecules are approximately 80 nucleotides in length. Their secondary structure includes four short double-helical elements and three loops (D, anti-codon, and T loops). Further hydrogen bonds mediate the characteristic L-shaped molecular structure. tRNAs have two regions of fundamental functional importance: the anti-codon, which is responsible for specific mRNA codon recognition, and the 3' end, to which the tRNAs corresponding amino acid is attached (by aminoacyl-tRNA synthetases). tRNAs cope with the degeneracy of the genetic code in two manners: having more than one tRNA (with a specific anti-codon) for a particular amino acid; and 'wobble' base-pairing, i.e. permitting non-standard base-pairing at the 3rd anti-codon position. The record is from Rfam by way of RNAcentral. Lineage: Eukaryota; Metazoa; Chordata; Mammalia; Rodentia; Heteromyidae.
GGGAAUGUGGCUUAGUGGUAGAGUACUUGCCUAGUAUGCAUGAAAACUUCUCUAUAUUCCUA